UGCAGUCACUCAGCCAUCUGGUGGAUGGCUCGGCUCGAGUGCUGACGAAGGUCGUGCCAAGCCGCGAUAGGCGAGGGGUAGGCGCAAGGAACCUUAGAUCCCUCGAUCGCCUAAUGGGACUUCCCGCUAGAGACAACCUCUAGCAAUCCACGCGGAUAGGGAACUCCCCGAAUUGAAACAUCUUAGUAGGGGAAGGAAAAGAAAUCAAUCGAGAUGCCGUGAGUAAAGUCGAUCGAAAGCGGUGUAGAGCAAACCGAAUCCUGCUGGAAACAGUUAGGAGAUGUGGUGUUUUGGACUCCGGUACAUCUUCGCCAUCGAAUCCGAAGUCUCCUGGAAUGGAGCACCAAAGAGGGUGAUAGUCCUGUAGGAGGAUGAUGGAAAGAUGAUUCGGGGUCUCCAGAGUAGUGUGCGUUGGAUAUCGCGCGCGAAUUUGGGAGGCAUACACUCCCAACCCUAAAUACGACUCGAGACCGAUAGCAAACUAGUAUCGUGAGUGAAAGCUGAAAAGUAUCCUUGACGGGAGAUGAAAAGAACCUGAAACUAGAUGGUUAAAGUCUGAUAGGGCAUGAAAGGGAAGAAGCUCUUUAACUGGAGUGGACCGAUGUCCUGUCGUACGUUCUGAAAAACGGGCCAGAGAGUUCUGAUCCAUGGCGAGGCUAAGCCUGCUAAGGGCGGAGCCGAAGGGAAACCAAUAGGUUCGCAUUCCGCAUCUGCGGAAGAGGAACAAGGUGUGUUCGCCUGGAGUCAUCGGUCAGAGAUCCGAAACCGGUCGAUCUAUGCCUGAGCAAGGUGAAGCCUUCCGAAAGGGAGGUGGAAGCCUGCAGGGGUAGUGAGCUACAAAUCCUUCCCAUGACUUGGGCAUAGGGGUGAAAGGCCAAUCUAGACCGGAGAUAGCUGGUUCCUUCCGAAACUACUCGAAGGUAGGCCUUGUCAGAGGUAGAUGAUGGAGUAGAGCACUGAUUGGGUAUUCGGGGGCGAGAGCCCUUGGUAUGCUGUCAAACUCAGAACCUAUCAUCGCCGUCGACGACAGGAGUAAGGGCACCGGGGUAAGCUUGGUGUCCGAAAGGGCAAGAACCCAGCCUGGGGUUAAGGUCCCAUGAAUGCCGGCUAAGUGUUAGAUUAAAGGGAGUCCGCAGUCGAAAACAACUAGGAGGUGGGCUUAGAAGCAGCCUUCCUUUAAAGAGUUCGUAACAGAUCACUAGUCGAGAUUGUGGGCCCCGAAAAUGGACGGGGCUAAGCCGGCUACCGAGACCCUGGAGUACCGAAAGGUAAUCUAGUAGGAAGGCGUCGGGCGCGGGUAGAAGCUUGGCCGUGAGGUCGAGUGGACCGCGUUCGAACGAGAAUUCUGGUAUGAGUAGCAGCAAAGAACGGUGAGAAUCCGUUCCGCCGUAGGGGCUAGGGUUCCUCGGCAAUGAUCAUCAGCCGAGGGUUAGCCGGUCCUAAGGUGGCCCUUAACCGAGGUCACCGAACAAGGAAAACAGGUUAAUAUUCCUGUGCCUCUAGCGCUUCUGCCCAGUCCAUGACGCAUCGGGAUCGCUUGAGCAGAGCUCUCGCUCUGUCGAAUAGUAUAAGCCCGGGGAGAACCGUAAUGGUGAGAACUGGGUGAAAGCUUGAUAGGGCGGACUGAGUCCGCUUCAGGCUAAUUCUGGUGCCCGUGAAAAGUGGGCUGGUAAAUCAUCGCUAGAGACCGUACCGAGAACUGACACAGGUGCCCCUGCCAUAGCAAGGCAAGGCGCGUCGGGUUAAAUCAGGCUAGGGAAUUCGGCAAAUUGGCCCCGUACCUUUGGUAGAAGGGGUGCCAGUCAUGCGAAUGGCUGGUUGCAAUAACAAGGGGUCCUCGACAGUUUAAUAAAGACCUAGGUGGCAGCUAGUCCGAAAGGAUUUGUACUGCCGUCGAAUCCUGCCCAGUGCCGGUAUCUGAAUCCCUUUUACAAGAGGUGGAAGGACCGGUAAACGGCGGGAGUAACUAUGACUCUCUUAAGGUAGCGUAAUACCUUGCCGCUUAAUUGGCGGCUUGCAUGAAGGAUCAACGAAGGACCCACUGUCCCAG
This 2050-nucleotide ribosomal RNA is filed under the name Thermoplasmata archaeon. Its description in RNAcentral is "bacterial LSU rRNA". It matches the Rfam family "Archaeal large subunit ribosomal RNA", at positions 1 to 2101 of the family's 2987-position model. Lineage: Archaea; Methanobacteriati; Thermoplasmatota; Thermoplasmata. The record is from RNAcentral.